Lycium ferocissimum is the source of this 299-nucleotide long non-coding RNA. RefSeq lists it as uncharacterized. The record is from RefSeq and is a predicted model, not a curated record. NCBI's taxonomy places the organism in Eukaryota, Viridiplantae, Streptophyta, Magnoliopsida, Solanales, Solanaceae. The transcript has 3 exons.
AAAGGAAAAGAAAAAGCGGCUCCAAGUGUCCACCGCGUUCCUGUUGACGAUGUAUCAACCAAGACAUCGCCUGACCUCACAAGUUUGAGGCACGAACUUAAUCAAUUUAAGCAGGAAGUGCUUGCUGAAUUCAAGGUUGUUUUUACUGAGCUCAAGGAUCUUCGCAAAACUAUUGAUAAAAAUUUCAAAAAAGUUUUGGAACAUGUCAAAGGGAAUCAAAACUCAGAAAAGGAUGAUGACAGUGAAACUCAAGUCCCUUUACAUGAUGGCAACUUACAUCAACAAUCUGAUGAUUACAU